AGCGAACGCUGGCGGCAGGCCUAACACAUGCAAGUCGAACGAACUCUUCGGAGUUAGUGGCGGACGGGUGAGUAACACGUGGGAACGUGCCUUUUGGUUCGGAAGAACUCAGGGAAACUUGUGCUAAUACCGAAUGUGCCCUUCGGUGGAAAGAUUUAUCGCCAUUAGAGCGGCCCGCGUCUGAUUAGCUAGUUGGUGAGGUAACGGCUCACCAAGGCGACGAUCAGUAGCUGGUCUGAGAGGAUGACCAGCCACACUGGGACUGAGACACGGCCCAGACUCCUACGGGAGGCAGCAGUGGGGAAUCUUGCGCAAUGGGCGAAAGCCUGACGCAGCCAUGACGCGUGAAUGAUGAAGGUCUUAGGAUUGUAAAAUUCUUUCACCGGGGACGAUAAUGACGUUACCCGGAGAAGAAGCCCCGGCUAACUUCGUG
Molecule: ribosomal RNA, 433 nt
Filed under: uncultured bacterium
Lineage: Bacteria
Description: partial 16S ribosomal RNA
Rfam family: Bacterial small subunit ribosomal RNA
Source: RNAcentral